This 443-nucleotide ribosomal RNA is filed under the name uncultured bacterium. RNAcentral describes it as "partial 16S ribosomal RNA". It matches the Rfam family "Bacterial small subunit ribosomal RNA", at positions 338 to 795 of the family's 1533-position model. The record is from RNAcentral.
CCUACGGGAGGCAGCAGUGGGGAAUAUUGCACAAUGGGCGAAAGCCUGAUGCAGCAACGCCGCGUGAAGGAAGAAGGCCUUCGGGUCGUAAACUUCUUUUCUCAGGGACGAAGAAAGUGACGGUACCUGAGGAAUAAGCCACGGCUAACUACGUGCCAGCAGCCGCGGUAAUACGUAGGUGGCAAGCGUUAUCCGGAUUUACUGGGUGUAAAGGGCGUGUAGGCGGGACUGCAAGUCAGAUGUGAAAACCACGGGCUCAACCUGUGGCCUGCAUUUGAAACUGUAGUUCUUGAGUAAUGGAGAGGCAGACGGAAUUCCUAGUGGAGCGGUGAAAUGCGUAGAUAGUAGGAGGAACACCAGUGGCGAAGGCGGUCUGCUGGACAGCAACUGACGCUGAGGCGCGAAAGCGUGGGGAGCAAACAGGAUUAGAUACCCCAGUAGUC